GCAAACGGCUCAGUAACACGUGGGUAACCUACCCUCAGGACAGGGAUAACCCCGGAAAACUGGGGAUAAAUACCUGAUAAGUGGAUAUGUCUGGAAUGGCUUUCCGCUAAAAUGCUCCGGCGCCUGAGGAUGGGCUGCGACCGAUUAGGUUGUUGGCGGUGUAAUGGACCACCAAGCCUAUAACCGGUACGGGCCGUGAGAGCGGUAGCCCGGAGAUGGGUACUGAGACAAGGACCCAGGCCCUACGGGGCGCAGCAGUCGCGAAAACUCCGCAAUGCACGAAAGUGUGACGGGGCUACCCCGAGUGCCUUCCGCUGAGGUUGGCUUUUCUUUGGUAUAACUAGCCAGGGGAAUAAGGAGAGGGCAAGACUGGUGUCUGCCGCCGCGGUAAUACCAGCUCUCCGAGUGGUAGGGAUGAUUAUUGGGCUUAAGGCGUCCGUAGCCGGCUCAGCAAGUUUCCUGUUAAAUUCAGCGACCUAAUCGUUGACCCGCGGGAAAUACUACUAAGCUAGGAGGCGGGAGAGGUCGACGGUACUUCUGGGGUAGGGGUGAAAUCCUAUAAUCCCGGGAGGACCACCAGUGGCGAAGGCUGUCGACUAGAACGCGCUCGACGGUGAGGGACGAAAGCUGGGGGAGCGAACCGGAUUAGAUACCCGGGUAGUCCCAGCCGUAAACGAUGCGAGCUAGGUGUUGGGAUGGCUACGUGCCAUUUCAGUGCCGCAGGGAAGCCAUUAAGCUCGCCGCCUGGGGAGUACGGCCGCAAGGCUGAAACUUAAAGGAAUUGGCGGGGGAGCACCACAAGGCGUGAAGCUUGCGGUUC
This 820-nucleotide ribosomal RNA is filed under the name uncultured archaeon. Its description in RNAcentral is "bacterial SSU rRNA". It matches the Rfam family "Archaeal small subunit ribosomal RNA", at positions 81 to 903 of the family's 1478-position model. The record is from RNAcentral.